GAUGAACGCUGGCGGCGUGCCUAAUACAUGCAAGUCGAACGCAUUGUGGUUGAAAUGAUAUGAAGAACUUGUUCAGAUUUGAUUUUCAACAUUGCAAUGAGUGGCGAACGGGUGAGUAACACGUGGGAAACCUACCUCUUAGCAGGGGAUAACAUUUGGAAACAAAUGCUAAUACCGUAUAAUAAUUAAAACCGCAUGGUUUUAGUUUAAAAGAUGGUCUUGCUAUCACUAAGAGAUGGUCCCGCGGUGUAUUAGUAGUUGGUGACGGUAAUGGCUCACCAAGACAAUGAUACAUAGCCGAGUUGAGAGACUGACCGG
This 318-nucleotide ribosomal RNA is filed under the name uncultured bacterium. RNAcentral describes it as "bacterial SSU rRNA". It matches the Rfam family "Bacterial small subunit ribosomal RNA", at positions 28 to 307 of the family's 1533-position model. The record is from RNAcentral.